GACGAACGCUGGCGGCGUGCUUAACACAUGCAAGUCGAACGGAAAGGCCCUGCUUUUGUGGGGUGCUCGAGUGGCGAACGGGUGAGUAACACGUGAGUAACCUGCCCUUGACUUUGGGAUAACUUCAGGAAACUGGGGCUAAUACCGGAUAGGAGCUCCUGCUGCAUGGUGGGGGUUGGAAAGUUUCGGCGGUUGGGGAUGGACUCGCGGCUUAUCAGCUUGUUGGUGGGGUAGUGGCUUACCAAGGCUUUGACGGGUAGCCGGCCUGAGGGGGUGACCGGCCACAUUGGGACUGAGAUACGGCCCAGACUCCUACGGGAGGCAGCAGUGGGGAAUAUUGCACAAUGGGCGGAAGCCUGAUGCAGCAACGCCGCGUGCGGGAUGACGGCCUUCGGGUUGUAAACCGCUUUCGCCUGUGACGAAGCGUGAGUGACGGUAAUGGGUAAAGAAGCACCGGCUAACUACGUGCCAGCAGCCGCGGUGAUACGUAGGGUGCGAGCGUUGUCCGGAUUUAUUGGGCGUAAAGGGCUCGUAGGUGGUUGAUCGCGUCGGAAGUGUAAUCUUGGGGCUUAACCCUGAGCGUGCUUUCGAUACGGGUUGACUUGAGGAAGGUAGGGGAGAAUGGAAUUCCUGGUGGAGCGGUGGAAUGCGCAGAUAUCAGGAGGAACACCAGUGGCGAAGGCGGUUCUCUGGGCCUUUCCUGACGCUGAGGAGCGAAAGCGUGGGGAGCGAACAGGCUUAGAUACCCUGGUAGUCCACGCUGUAAACGGUGGGUACUAGGUGUGGGGUCCAUUCCACGGGUUCCGUGCCGUAGCUAACGCUUUAAGUACCCCGCCUGGGGAGUACGGCCGCAAGGCUAAAACUCAAAGGAAUUGACGGGGCCCCGCACAAGCGGCGGAGCAUGCGGAUUAAUUCGAUGCAACGCGUAGAACCUUACCUGGGUUUGACAUGGAUCGGGAGCGCUCAGAGAUGGGUGUGCCUCUUUUGGGGUCGGUUCACAGGUGGUGCAUGGCUGUCGUCAGCUCGUGUCGUGAGAUGUUGGGUUAAGUCCCGCAACGAGCGCAACCCUUGUUCACUGUUGCCAGCACGUUAUGGUGGGGACUCAGUGGAGACCGCCGGGGUCAACUCGGAGGAAGGUGGGGAUGACGUCAGGUCAUCAUGCCCCUUAUGUCCAGGGCUUCACGCAUGCUACAAUGGCUGGUACAGAGAGUGGCGAGCCUGUGAGGGUGAGCGAAUCUCGGAAAGCCGGUCUCAGUUCGGAUUGGGGUCUGCAACUCGACCUCAUGAAGUCGGAGUCGCUAGUAAUCGCAGAUCAGCAACGCUGCGGUGAAUACGUUCCCGGGGCU
RNAcentral lists this ribosomal RNA (1346 nucleotides) under uncultured bacterium. RNAcentral describes it as "bacterial SSU rRNA". It matches the Rfam family "Bacterial small subunit ribosomal RNA", at positions 28 to 1381 of the family's 1533-position model. The record is from RNAcentral.